ACCCGUCUACGCAUCACGUUGGUCGUUGGGCUCGGUCUCGUCCGCUCCUGCUCUUUUCUCCGCACCCAGCGCCGCCGCGGGCGAUUCUAGGGUUUCGUCGCCGGCGGCAACAACCUGCCUGUAGCGAUUCGACGUAGGCAUCCCUGUUCCUCUCCUCCGGAGGCCUGUCUCCUCGCCAUCUCGUCGGUGUAGCCUGAGUGUGGGUCCACGCCCUGCAGACCCACGACGACGGCCUGCAGAUCCAGUCCACCUCCGACGACCUCGACCUAUCUGCAACUUGUGGACAGCCUGCAGAAACAGCUCGUAUUGGAGGCUACACAGAAAAACCUGCACCCAAAAGUUGUAAAGCUCACCAAGAACCUUGCAGGAUAACACAAGUGCUGAAUUUUGGAAAUGGAUCAUGGGCGUUAUGCUCCACAACAUGGAUGGGAGAACAACAGUGCACCAAAUGGGUAUGGUGUAAUUAAUGAGCCAGAUUUUAGGUCUGGUGGAUCCUACAAUGCUAGGAGAUCUGUGGAUGAAGGCUUUCCUAGAGAUUCAUAUGGAAGGGGUGCAUUCUAUCAUGAUACACAUGAUAGAAAUAUGUAUGCAUCACCACCCUCUGCCGGUGGAAUGUGGUCUCAGCCUCGAAGGAAUCAUGAUGAGGACUAUGCAACUGCAAGAGACCAUAGAAGGCAUGACACUGAUUAUCGCAAUGAUGGAAAGCAUCAUGAGUUUGAUUCAUACAGAGGAGUUGAUAGACUCCAUGAUAAUUAUCGUGCUACUGACAACUAUUAUGAAUCUGGCAGUCACCGUGAUUUUGGUGCUGAUAGGAGCAAAAGGAUUGGAAGCAGAGAACGGGCGGAGUUUCAUGGUGAGUUUGAAGACCGGUACCGCAGUUCUCACCAAAGCAGGGAGGACAGCUAUGAGAGAGAUCAUGAAUAUGGUCGUUAUGGUUAUGAUUCGGAUUAUGAAAGAGGCAAGAGAGAUAGUAGCUGGAGAAGACGUGAUUCAUGUGACAGCGAACGUGAAAGGAGUGGAUUAAGUCGUGAAAGAGAGGAAAGCCCGUACACGCGCCAUAGCCGUUCUCGAUCACAUGGGCGCGAUGACCGAUCAAGAUCACGGUCUAGAUCAAGAUCUCCUCGUCCGAGAAGUCAUGGUCGGAACCAAAGAGAUGGCCUGUAUUAUGAUAAUCGAUUUGACAGAAGAAGGGAAUAUGAUUGGGAUGAUAGGGGGCAUGGUGAUUCAGUGGCUCCAUCUGCCACUGUUGUUGUCAAGGGACUGUCCCUGAAGACUAAUGAUGAUGACCUAUAUAAGAUUCUUGCUCAGUGGGGACCUCUACGCAGUGUGCGUGUGAUCAGGGAACGGAAUUCUGGCAUGUCUCGUGGAUUUGCUUUUAUUGACUUCCCCACUGUGGAAGCAGCCCGUAGAAUGAUGGAAGCUACAGGAGAGAAUGGUCUCGAAAUUGAUGGCAGGAAUGUGUUCUUUCAGUACAGUAGUAAACCAACCGGGGGGAUGGGUGGGCCUUCUCUUGGACAAGAAAAUUUUACGAGGCCUACUUAUGGGCACAGGACUGCUGCUGCACCGUGUGACUGGAUUUGUACUAUAUGCGGAUGUAUGAAUUUUGCCCGCAGGACCUCCUGCUUUCAGUGCAAUGAACCUCGUACUGAGGAUGCUCUUCCAGCUGAUGCGACAGGUUCCGCUUCACACUUUGGGAGAAGGGGAUCUGAACUAGGUCCAACUCAUGUUUUAGUUGUUCGUGGCUUGGAUGAAAAUGCUGAUGAGGAAAUGCUUCGGUACGAAUUUGCUAAGCACGCACCAAUAAAGGACAUCCGCCUUGUUCGGGAUAAGUUUACUCAUGUGUCUAGAGGUUUUGCCUUCGUUCAUUUCCAUUCGGUGGAAGAUGCUACGAAAGCUCUGGAAGCUACAAACGGGAUUACACUUGAGAAAAACGGUCAGGUUUUGCGUGUAGCAUAUGCUAAAAGUACACAUGGACCUGCAUCAGGGGGUUCUCAGUCAAACAGCCUUGCUGCAGCUGCCAUUGAGGCUGCAUCAUUUGCUCAGCAGUAUGAUGCCAUAGGUUGGGCUCCAAAAGAGUACAAUCCUGAUGACAAACAGAACAACAACUCUGAAUCUCAAAAAGAUGGCAGCACAGCACAGUCGGGAUUUGUUUGGGAUGAAAAAUCUGGUUACUACUAUGAUUCUGCAUCUGGAUUCUAUUAUGAUGGAACUACUGGCCUUUACUAUGACAGCAACUCUGGAGUUUGGUAUUCAUAUGAUCAACAGACUCAACAAUAUGUCCCUUGUAAUGACCAGAGCAACACUAAGGCAGCCGGGGAGGCGGCCAGCGAAAACACGAAAACCUCAGAUAGUAAUAGUGGCAAAAAGGUUGUGAUCUCUGCGCCUGCUGCCACAAUUAAACAAAGUGAGAAAACUUCACUUCCUGACGCUGUUCAAGCUGCUGCAAAUGCUGCACUGGCUGCAGAAAAGAGAGAAAAGGAGAAGGCAAAAGAGAUUAAAUUGGCCUCAAAAAAUAGUCUCAUAGCUAAUAAGAAGAUGAGCAAUGUCCUAGCUAUGUGGAAGCAAAGGAAUCAAGAAGGGCAGGCCGCACGAAUUGUCCUUGAUGACAAAGAACCAGCAAAUUCUGAUGAUAAAUUUAGUCAUUCACGUAGUGGAACUGGAUUCUCUUUGAAAAGCAAGCCAAAUUCUGACCUUGAAAAUGCUAUGGGCAAUUCUCUUGGCCAAGGAAUGACAUCGACUCAAACAUUGGAUUCUGUUGUAAAGCCUAGACCUGUCAGUAACAGCUUAGGGACUACAGUUAUGGGUGUCAUAAGAGGUUCUGCUAGAGGAGUGAUCAAGUCAGAUACUACGUUUCACGCAUUAUCUGAUGCUGGUAGCACUGAUUCCCGCACCACUAUAACCACAAGAGCAAGUGGGUUAAUGACAAGUUCUGAGGCACUUAUAACUCCUGCACCCUUCAAAACUGAUGUGUCUGCCUUAGUCUCUAAUACUCCAUCGGGAGUUUCUGGGAGUGGUAAACGUCGGUUUUCUGAGGCACCGGGACAAUCCCAGUACAGGGAUCGAGCUGCAGAAAGACGAAAUCUGUAUGGAUCAUCUCAUGGCACUGAUACUGUUGGAUUGGAUUCAAGGAUUUUUUUGUUACCAUUGGAAUGUAUCCUUGACCCAACAUACAGUUUAGGGAUGAUGUUUUCGGUUUUGCUUGUAAGAUUUUUAUUGAUUUUCUGGAAAUUACCUGUUGUCAAGCUGGUGACUAUCCGUCCCGAAAGGGUUCAAGUGAGAUAGGGUCGAUGCCGUUUCCUCCUGGUGUGGGUGAACGUUCCAGUGGUGAAAUUGGCAACAGCGAAAACUAUGAAGUUAUUACCGCUGAUAGAGCAAUCGAUGAAAGCAAUGUGGGCAACCGCAUUCUACGCAACAUGGGGUGGCAGGAGGGACUGGGUCUCGGAAAGGAUGCCAGCGGUAUCAAGGAACCAGUCCUGGCAAAAUCCGUCGACGCCAGGGCUGGACUGGGAAGUCAGCAGCGGAAGCCUGAUCCAUCCCUUGAAGCCCAAGCCGGGGACAGCUACAAAACCAUCAUCCAGAAGAAGGCCAUGGCAAGAUUCAAGGAGAUGUCUUAGCUACACUGUUUUAUCUAUUUUAUUGCUGCAUUUUGUAGUCCGUUUUUAACAGCAUGCAUUUUUUUGUUUGCUCGUGUGUUUUUUAAAUAAACUGAGCCGCUGAAUUGUGAUUUAUUAUCCUGAAAGGGGCACUACAUAGUUCGAGACCUGGAUGCUUUGGUUCCCUUGUGUGUUAGUUUUCAUUUGCA
Zea mays is the source of this 3802-nucleotide RNA transcript. It is a transcript of the gene named SUPPRESSOR OF ABI3-5, with no coding region annotated. The transcript has 16 exons. NCBI's taxonomy places the organism in Eukaryota, Viridiplantae, Streptophyta, Magnoliopsida, Poales, Poaceae. The record is from RefSeq and is a predicted model, not a curated record.